GCUGCUCUGAUAAUCACACACCUCUUCGUGGUGAGCAGCAGGGAACGAUCUUACAGUCGGCGAAGAUGUGAGA
This 73-nucleotide ribozyme is filed under the name unclassified sequences. RNAcentral describes it as "HDV ribozyme from F. prausnitzii". It matches the Rfam family "HDV ribozyme from F. prausnitzii". RNAcentral also lists the same sequence under 1 other name. The record is from RNAcentral.